RNA transcript from Polypterus senegalus (gray bichir), 3848 nucleotides. It is a transcript of the gene named butyrophilin subfamily 3 member A2-like, with no coding region annotated. The transcript has 6 exons. The record is from RefSeq and is a predicted model, not a curated record. Lineage: Eukaryota; Metazoa; Chordata; Cladistia; Polypteriformes; Polypteridae.
UCUGUUUAACGCAUGCGUGAACACUUUACGGCAUGCUAGGCUUUCAAUACACCUGCGCGCAGCUUCACAGUAAUAUGUUUGACUUUAUCAAAGAGGGUUACCUGUCAUUGUUGUGAUUUAAAUGUGGAAGUGCGAGGACUGUGGUGCAGCAUUAUCAAAAUUGCAAGCCAAAUGAUGCUGAGAGGGAGACUGAACAGACGGCCAUGGGGAUAUAUGUAAUAAGGAGAGAAGGUGAAGAUGCUACUGAGGAGUCAGGAUGUAUGUGUCGUACUUGAGGGUGUUGAAGUUCUUGGUGAACUAAAGAAUAUUGUUUCUGCUUUUAUCGUGCUGUUUGGCCUGAUCUAUGCACUCAACCUGAGCUACCCUCAUGAUUUAAAGUGUACAUUUGAAGUUAUUCAGAAGGUCAUAAUGAACAUGGAUGGGCAAAAGCUUUCUCCAAAAGUGCAAGCACUUAAAAUUAAAAUGCUUCAGUGAUCACCAUACACACAAUAUUUUCUUUUGUAUUCUGAUUUUUUCCAAAUUAGAAAUGGAUAAACGCAAGUUAGAGAGGCAAAUUCUUUUGCUUUCCUUCAAAACUAUUUUUAUUGUGCAGCUUUUUGCCUCUGACCACUGAAGGAAAUUCUUGAAUUGAUGAUUUUUCCCCCAAAAGAGAGAACCUGUUUUACCGGCUUGCUUAUUAGACAUCCUGAGAGCUUAAAAUGCUUAUAAGAAUUUGUAAUUGAACUUUGUGUAAACAAAUGUAACAUAUUGAAAAACAAACAUUCAUUGAGAUUAUUAAUAGGUAGAACUAAAUUUGUAUUCACUGCUUAAACAAUCAAAAUGUUAGCAUCUGUCUGUUUCUACAUUAUUUACACUUUGUAAAGGAAUUGUAGAUGUUUUUCCAAAACUAAAGCAUAAGUUAUGUUAAGUAUGUAAUAAGUAGUGAUUUAUGCAAAAUAAAAUUGACACCUGCUUAAGCAGAUAUUUAGGAAUUGUACAUUUUCAUUGUUCAUCGGACUGAUAGUAAAAACACACUCUGUUCAAUGAAAUUGUUAUGUAUGUACAGUGUAGCUGUUUAAUCUAAAUGUGUAAAUGAGUGGUGUUUCAGCCUUAGCCCCUAAAUCUUUUUUAUAUAUAUAUUAUAGUUUUGAUAUAAAGUAUUAAGGGGAGAAAAUAGCAUAUGAGCAGCCAAUAAGCUUGCGGCACUUUAAUGUGUGUCUGCUUUUUAGGUGGAACUAGGUUAAUUUUAUUUAGUUGGAGAGACAUGAUGUAAAUGGAUGGAAAUUUGUCACAUAAUUAAACUGUAAAAUUACCAUAAAGUAAAUAUGUUGAAUUAACAUGUAGCGAUUGGUUUAAGUGAAAUAAUUUUAAAUGUAAACAGUCUGUAAUAACCACUAAAUAUAAUCAAUCCGGUUAAUUUCUUUGGGAUUUGAGUUACAAAUUUGGAUGGCCUUAUAUUAACUAAAAUAAAUCUUUAAAUUACAAUGUUCAUUUCUUUGAAAUGGCUCAAUUUAGGUGGAAAUUUUAGUGGCCAGUCCAAAUCAAAGCAAUAAGAAUCUUACUUCCUCUCAGAUCUUCAGUGCUUAACUUUAUAACAGUACUUUCUAACACAUUACAACUUAACAGCGAAAUAAAAAUUGUAAGUCUAGAUGAGGGUAUAGUCCUAUCACCAUUCGAAUAUAAUGAACAUGUAGCCCUCUAACUUAAGUGUCAACAUAAUUUUACACUCCUUGCAAUGUUUUUUUUUUUUUUUUUUUUAAACUCUUUAACUCUUAAAGUAGACCUUGUAAAUCUUACUUUGACAUGAUACUUUUAAAACAAAUUUUCUUGGCUUUUAAAUUGUACAGUCAAUCUCACCGUAUUUUUCUGUUUGACAAGUAUAGUAAAGUAACUAAGCACAUACGCUAAAAUUGCCUAAAGGUUUCACUUCUGAACAAUGACGUGCUUUCCUGCAGUGUGCUCUGUUAUGCUCCAGACUUCGAUGGUAUAGCUUUACAGACGAGUUCUUAUGACAUUUUUGCUCUCUGCCUCUUUAAACGCGCUGCUCUUAAAGGCGAGAUAAAAAAAAAAAAAAUCUGCGAGAAGCUAGAACGAAGAGGACCACUUAUACUUUCUGCGUUCGUUAUUAAGAAACCAAACGAAGUAACAAGCAAAGAAAUGUCGGAGUAUGUUUGUUUUGUUUGUUUUUAGACUGCUGCCCCCGUGACUUCCACCCGAAUAAGCGUCAGAAGAUGCAUAAAAGAUAUUUGCAGAUAAUCAUUUUAUUGAUGGCGGAGUCUUUGUAUGAAAUGGAAAGAUUCACCGGAGUUACUGAAAAAGGCAGGACUUUGGGAGAAGAAACUGGAAACAGUGGUGCAAAUUUAAUGCCACAGAAAUAUUUAGCCUUCCUCAUUUCUGUAUUGUUUCUACAUCACUAUGUGGAAUGAAUAUGUUAACUAAGUACUACUCAAAAAAAAAUAUAUAUCAUUUUACUUCUAAUGUACAGUUUAUUCAAAUUCAGGAUGUUGCUGUGUAUUUUAAUGUCAACUUAUCUAAAUCAAAUCUAUUUAAUUCUAUUUCAUUUUGCAACAUUAACAAUAUUGAUUUAAUUGCCUUCUCCAAUGGAAUUGACAGCCUGCCCAGUGGUGACAAUUGAUUUACCACAGAUGAACUAGUUUCCUACUAUAACAAUGGACUAUGCAGCCUUUUAGACAAUCUUGCUCCUCUGUAAACCCAGAGUGUCUCUUUCAUCCACUCUGUCCCCUGGUUCACCCCGGAACUCCUCUAGCUUAAAGCUAAGGACAGACAUUUGGAAUGCCUUUAUAAAAAGACGGACUGUGCUGUGUCCAUAAGAAUAUGUAUGAUGAACACAUGUGCAACUAUAAGGAUGCUUUGUCUGCUACAUAUUACUCAACACUAACUGGGUCUGGUGAAGAGAAUACAAAGGCUUCAUUUUCUACUGAAAACAACAUUCUCCGGCCACCUGACAGUCUUCCACCUCAAUUUUACUGCACAGAUCAAUGUAACUCUUUUAUGACAUUGUUUGAUAUGAAGAUCGGAAAUAUGCACCAGCAGUUAACCUCUUCUGGAAAUUAUGUACACGGAACAUUUUUUAUGAUCCCCCUUCUUCUUUUCUUACUAGUUUUAAACUUCCUACUGUGGAGGAAAUACAGUACUUGGUAGUAUUAGAAAAUCUAAGCCCUCUACCUAUCAACUGGGCCUAGUUCCUACUUAUUUGAUUAACUUCUGUUUAUCUUCCCUUUCUUCUUUAACUACUUAUUAUUCAAUUAUUCAUAUCAUAUAAUAUUAUCAUAUUACUCUGUAUUACAUCAUACAUUCUUUCCUUAUCACUGGUCUUGUUCCUUUAUCUUUUAAAAUGGCUGUAAUAACUGCAAAUCUCAAGAAAUCUGGUGUGGAUCCCUACAACCUAAAUAAUUAUCAUCCAAUCUCUAAUUUAGUUUUCCUUUGUAAAACACUUGAAAAAACUGUUGCCAUGCAGGUUCCCUCUUACCUUACUGACAAUCAUUUGUUUGAAUGAUUUUAGUCUGGCUUUUGUCCAUUUCACAGUACCGAGACAGCCCUGGUUAAAAUCACCAAUGCCCUGCUGAUGGCAGCUGACUCUGGACUGUUAACUACACUUGUACUCCUUGAUCUGAGCUCUGACUUUGAUGCAAUCUCUCAUGAUUUUCUCCUAGAGAGAUUAGAAACAUUCAUAAUGUUGACUCUCUUCCUACCUUUAAAUCUCACCUUAAAAAAACAUCUUUUUAAGCUGACUUAUUCUAUUUGAUAUAAAUUUUAGUUGAGAAAUUUAAAUUCACUUCCAUUACUGUAUUUAUUCUGGUUUUAUUGUACUGUAAUACUCAUAAUAUAAUAUAAUAAUAUUAAUUUUA